This 979-nucleotide ribosomal RNA is filed under the name Nocardia sp. HUG-PS9930. RNAcentral's name for it is "bacterial SSU rRNA". It matches the Rfam family "Bacterial small subunit ribosomal RNA", at positions 54 to 1050 of the family's 1533-position model. The record is from RNAcentral. Lineage: Bacteria; Bacillati; Actinomycetota; Actinomycetes; Mycobacteriales; Nocardiaceae.
CAUGCAAGUCGAGCGGUAAGGCCCUUCGGGGUACACGAGCGGCGAACGGGUGAGUAACACGUGGGUGAUCUGCCUCGCACUUCGGGAUAAGCCUGGGAAACUGGGUCUAAUACCGGAUAUGACUUCUGGUCGCAUGGCUGGGGGUGGAAAGAUUUAUCGGUGCGAGAUGGGCCCGCGGCCUAUCAGCUUGUUGGUGGGGUAAUGGCCUACCAAGGCGACGACGGGUAGCCGGCCUGAGAGGGCGACCGGCCACACUGGGACUGAGACACGGCCCAGACUCCUACGGGAGGCAGCAGUGGGGAAUAUUGCACAAUGGGCGAAAGCCUGAUGCAGCGACGCCGCGUGAGGGAUGACGGCCUUCGGGUUGUAAACCUCUUUCGACAGGGACGAAGCGUAAGUGACGGUACCUGUAGAAGAAGCACCGGCCAACUACGUGCCAGCAGCCGCGGUAAUACGUAGGGUGCGAGCGUUGUCCGGAAUUACUGGGCGUAAAGAGCUUGUAGGCGGUUUGUCGCGUCGUCUGUGAAAACUCACAGCUCAACUGUGAGCUUGCAGGCGAUACGGGCAGACUUGAGUACUGCAGGGGAGACUGGAAUUCCUGGUGUAGCGGUGAAAUGCGCAGAUAUCAGGAGGAACACCGGUGGCGAAGGCGGGUCUCUGGGCAGUAACUGACGCUGAGAAGCGAAAGCGUGGGUAGCGAACAGGAUUAGAUACCCUGGUAGUCCACGCCGUAAACGGUGGGCGCUAGGUGUGGGUUUCCUUCCACGGGAUCCGUGCCGUAGCUAACGCAUUAAGCGCCCCGCCUGGGGAGUACGGCCGCAAGGCUAAAACUCAAAGGAAUUGACGGGGGCCCGCACAAGCGGCGGAGCAUGUGGAUUAAUUCGAUGCAACGCGAAGAACCUUACCUGGGUUUGACAUACACCGGAAACCUGCAGAGAUGUAGGCCCCCUUGUGGUCGGUGUACAGGUGGUGCAUGGCU